This is a long non-coding RNA of Sinocyclocheilus anshuiensis, 425 nucleotides long. Lineage: Eukaryota; Metazoa; Chordata; Actinopteri; Cypriniformes; Cyprinidae. The record is from Ensembl.
CUAACUUCAAAGGACCUCAUGCAGUAGUUUCUGUCGGGUUUGGACCAGUAUACACCCAGAUUUCUUCAGCUGUUUAGAGCAAAGAUGAGCAGCAUUUCACAAUUGGAAAGUCUUCUCAGCGAGAUCGACAGUGAUAAUUCCAUGUCAAUGAAAAGGGCUGUUGUUCUUCAGGGCCUUCCACAUUACCUCAGUGAGGAUCCAUCGGAUUUCAAGUCAGCAGAGGGAACAGACAUUGAAGACCGUGUGAUGGCAGGAAUGGAUGUGGAAAAUUCUCAUAAUGCCUGAUGGAGAUGAUGCCUUUGACUACUAUGUGGUGCUGGAGGAACAGAUUGUCCUGAGAGAUGUCAAAGACCUCCCUCAUGCUGUAGCUCUACUAGUCGGGCUGAUUUUUGCACUUAAUAUUGAUUACCCCCAAAAAAUACGCU